UUCCAUUUGUAGUCGUCGCGGGACU
RNAcentral lists this non-coding RNA (25 nucleotides) under Cricetulus griseus (Chinese hamster). Lineage: Eukaryota; Metazoa; Chordata; Mammalia; Rodentia; Cricetidae. The record is from RNAcentral.